RNAcentral lists this unclassified non-coding RNA (327 nucleotides) under soil metagenome. RNAcentral's name for it is "partial contains 5.8S ribosomal RNA, internal transcribed spacer 2, and large subunit ribosomal RNA". The stretch from base 1 to 120 matches the Rfam family "5.8S ribosomal RNA", at positions 35 to 154 of the family's 154-position model. The record is from RNAcentral.
GAUGAAGAACGUAGCGAAAUGCGAUAAGUAGUGUGAAUUGCAGAAUUCAGUGAAUCAUCGAAUCUUUGAACGCACAUUGCGCCCUUUGGUAUUCCGAGGGGCAUGCCUGUUCGAGCGUCAUUAUAACCCCUCAAGCUCAGCUUGGUGUUGGGGCCUGCUGCACUGGCAGCCCUUAAAAUCAGUGGCGGCGCCAUCUGGCUCUAAGCGUAGUAAUUCUUCUCGCUAUGGAGUCCUGGUGGAUGCUUGCCAUCAACCCCCAAUUUUUCUAUGGUUGACCUCGGAUCAGGUAGGGAUACCCGCUGAACUUAAGCAUAUCAUAAGCGAGGA